GGCUGGUUAGCUCAGUCGGUUAGAGCAUGGUGCUGGUAACAUCAAGGCCGUGGGUUCAAUCCCCGCUCAGUCC
This 73-nucleotide transfer RNA is filed under the name Apaloderma vittatum (bar-tailed trogon). It matches the Rfam family "tRNA". Rfam says of the family: Transfer RNA (tRNA) molecules are approximately 80 nucleotides in length. Their secondary structure includes four short double-helical elements and three loops (D, anti-codon, and T loops). Lineage: Eukaryota; Metazoa; Chordata; Aves; Trogoniformes; Trogonidae. The record is from Rfam by way of RNAcentral.